CCUACGGGAGGCAGCAGUGGGGAAUUUUGGACAAUGAGCGCAAGCCUGAUCCAGCAAUGCCGCGUGAGUGAAGAAGGCCUUCGGGUUGUAAAGCUCUUUUGUCAGGGAAGAAACGGUCGAGGAUAAUACCUUUGGCUAAUGACGGUACCUGAAGAAUAAGCACCGGCUAACUACGUGCCAGCAGCCGCGGUAAUACGUAGGGUGCAAGCGUUAAUCGGAAUUACUGGGCGUAAAGCGUGCGCAGGCGGUUUUGUAAGUCUGUCGUGAAAUCCCCGGGCUCAACCUGGGAAUUGCGAUGGAGACUGCAAGGCUAGAAUCUGGCAGAGGGGGGUAGAAUUCCACGUGUAGCAGUGAAAUGCGUAGAGAUGUGGAGGAACACCGAUGGCGAAGGCAGCCCCCUGGGUCAAGAUUGACGCUCAUGCACGAAAGCGUGGGGAGCAAACAGGAUUAGAUACCCUGGUAGUCCACGCCCUAAACGAUGUCUACUAGUUGUCGGGUCUUAAUUGACUUGGUAACGCAGCUAACGCGUGAAGUAGACCGCCUGGGGAGUACGGUCGCAAGAUUAAAACNCAAAUGAAUUGACGG
This 585-nucleotide ribosomal RNA is filed under the name uncultured bacterium. RNAcentral describes it as "bacterial SSU rRNA". It matches the Rfam family "Bacterial small subunit ribosomal RNA", at positions 338 to 916 of the family's 1533-position model. The record is from RNAcentral.